AGUGCGCAGUUUCAGAGAAACGAAACUUAUCUCUUUGGCUUAGUCAGUGUUACAGUAAAAUAGCAGAGGUCUUCUCAGAACCAGGAAAUAUCUCCUGCUCUUUCUCAAACAGAUUCAGAGAAACUACACUGCAUUCUGGACUACAACUAAUCUCUGUCAAUUUGAGCAGUAAAAUGGCACAGGCUGCAGGCCUUCUGGUUCAGGACCAGUUGAGCUGCUCGAUCUGUCUGGAUAUACUCAAGGAUCCAGCGACUAUUCCCUGUGGACAUAAUUACUGUAUGGGCUGUAUUAAGGGCUGCUGGGAUCAGGAUGAUAAUACUGGUGUCUACAGCUGUCCCCAGUGCAGAGAAACUUUCACCUCAAGGCCUGUCCUGAAGAAAAACACCUUACUGGAUGAAGUGGUGGAACAAUUGAAGAAGACAGGACUCCAAGCUGCUCCUCCUGCUCACUGUUACGCUGGACCUGGAGACGUGGAGUGUGAUUUCUGCACUGGGAGAAAGGGCAAAGCCGUCAAGUCCUGUUUGGUGUGUCUGGCCUCUUACUGCGAAACUCAUCUCCAGCCUCACUAUGAAUCUCCUGCUCUUAAGAAGCAUAAUCUGGUUAAAGCCACUGGAAACCUUCAGGAGAAGAUCUGCUCUUGUCAUGACAAAGCGCUCGAGAUUUACUGUCGUACCGAUCAGCAGUUUAUCUGUUAUCUCUGUACAAUUGAAGAUCACAGAGGCCAUGAUACAGUUUCAGUUGCAACAGAAAGGACUGAGAAACAGAAGCAGCUGGGGGUGACACAGAGUAAAUUCCAGCAGAGAAUCCAGGAGAGAGAGAAGGAGCUGCAGGAUCUGAGACAGGCUGUGCAGUCACUCAAGCGCUCUGCACAGGCAGCAGUGGAGGACAGUGAAAGGAUCUUUACUGAGCUGAUCUGCUCUAUUAAAAGAAGGUGCUCUGAGGUGAAAGAGCUGAUCAGAAAUCAGGAGAAGGCUGAAGUGAGUCGGGCUGAGGGACAUUUGGAGCGACUGGAGCAGGAGAUUGCUGAGCUGAGGAGGAGAGACACUGAGCUGGAGCAGCUUUCACACACAGAGGAUCACAUCCAUUUCCUCCAGAGCACUCAGUCUCUCUGUGUCCCUCCUGGACCUGUAGACUUAUCCAGCAUCACUAUCAACCCACACAUCUCCUUUGAGGCUGUGAGGAAAUGUGUCUCUGAGCUGAAAGAGCAUUUGGAGGACGUCUGCAAGGGUGAAAUGUCUAAGAUCUCCAAGGCAGGCAGAGCAAUGGGCAUUUAUGGCUGCUUCACUGAGACCAGAGAGCCUUCAGAAGCCAGAGUCACAGCAGCUGAAGUGGAGACCUGUCCCACCUGCUUGAAGCCCUGGCAGAACAAGCAGAGGCUGAUAUGUACUCAUGCCUUCUGUGCAGCCUGUCUGCGUGACUCUGUAUCUAGAGUGGGUCGUCAGUGUCCAGUGUGUCUAAAAGCACUCACAGUAGUGGGAGACCAGCCAAAGGGACAGAUGACAGAGCAAAAUGACUUUUACCUUUUUUUAUGUAUUACCUACAAUAUUCCCAAUGGAAUACAGACGGAGGCCCAUCCCAACCCAGGAAAGCCCUUUAAGGGAAAGGAGAUAGAGGCCCGGUUACGAGGCGGCCCAGAGGGUCAGGAGGUGCUGAAGCUGCUGCAAAGAGCCUUUGACCAGAAGCUGGUUUUUACUGUGGCUGCAACCGAUGGAGCUGAAGACAGAGUCGUCUACGCUGACAUCCCCCAUGCAGAAAACUGGUAUGAGUGCAUGCAUCCUGGCUUCCUGCAGAAGGUGAAGGCGGUACUCAGAGCCAAAUUCAUUGAAUGAUUGGAUGAACAGAGACAUCAGAUCCUCAGCACAGCACCACCAAAUGGACCAGAAGAGAAAAUCACCACAUUACAAAGAUGGGCACACGAUAGACAGACAUUAGAGACCGAGAGGAACCAGCCAGUUGACCUUUGCACUCUAUGAGGUCAGGAAGCAGAAUCAUAACUGAAGGUAGCAGUAGGUCACUGCUUUAGAAACACAUAUGUGAUAAAUCUACUCAAUCCUGAUGGAUCUGAUUCUAAUAACUCUCUGAUAGACUCUAUUACGCUGUGUGCUCCUCUGUUCCUGUGUAUGCAGUAACUGGAUUGGAUCUUCAAUAAUGAUGUCAUACAUCAAUCAAGUGUAGCUCCUCCCCACGUUACUGUAUCAUUUCCUCUCUGGAUUGUCUCCCAGAGAACAAUGUACACUAAUUUCUUAAUAUCUAUAUAUAAUCAUUUCUUCUCAGUAUAAAAACACUUAAUGACAGAGGCUCACCUUAAAAAUAAUGUGUUUCUCUUGAGGGUGAUAAAAACAUGCCAAAUACACAGUAUAAUAUGACAGUGUAAGGAUGCAUUAUACAAACAGUAUCAUUUUGGAUGCAUUCAUAUUUAGCUUUAUUAGUAAAAAAAUAUACCCAGUACAUGUACUGUUUUUAACAGAGAAUGUCUGUGUUAAAAAUAAAUAAUAAAUAAAUAAAUACUAUAUAUAUAUAUA
Molecule: RNA transcript, 2522 nt
Organism: Anguilla rostrata (American eel)
Lineage: Eukaryota; Metazoa; Chordata; Actinopteri; Anguilliformes; Anguillidae
Gene name: E3 ubiquitin/ISG15 ligase TRIM25-like
Exons: 7
Source: RefSeq, a predicted model, not a curated record